This 607-nucleotide long non-coding RNA is filed under the name Homo sapiens (human). RNAcentral's name for it is "novel transcript, sense overlapping DBNL". The record is from RNAcentral. Lineage: Eukaryota; Metazoa; Chordata; Mammalia; Primates; Hominidae.
CGACGCUCCUGGGGGACACAGGCACGCUGCUUUCCCUCCCAAGCCAGUGGGCCCCCACCCGACUCCCCACUCUGCAGCUUCCCAGAGGCCUUCCCAGCAAAGGCAGCCCACCUUGCUAAUGGAGUUGUAGUAGGGGUGCUUCUCGUCCAUCGGGGGCGGCGGGAUGUCGAAGGAGCGCCUCCAGAUCUUCACCUGCUCCUCCCCGUGCUUGGCGGCCGUUUCUGCCUUGUUGAGGCCUGUGAGGCCCCCGUAAUGCCGCUCAUUGAGGCGCCAAGUGCGCACCACAGGCAGCCACAUCUGGUCCGUGCCGUCCAGGAUGGCCCAGAGGGUGCGGAUGGCCCGCUUCAGCACUGACGUGUAGCAGAUGUCAAACUCCAUCUUGGCAUCCUUGAUGGCCUUGGCUCCCCGCUUGGCCUCCUCGGUCCCCUUUUCACUCAGCUCUGCAUCGAACCAGCCACAGAAACGGUUCUCCUGGUUCCAUGUGCUCUCGCCGUGCCGGACCAUCACGAGGCGGCUAGGAGGCGGCCCUCAGCAGGCAGAGGAGGAGAGCCAGAGGAGCUGGUGCAGACCACAGCUUUGUGGAGAGGAGUCUGGCCUUGUGGAAGGU